This 1057-nucleotide long non-coding RNA is filed under the name Phasianus colchicus (ring-necked pheasant). RNAcentral describes it as "lncRNA (ENSPCLG00000007466.1)". Lineage: Eukaryota; Metazoa; Chordata; Aves; Galliformes; Phasianidae. The record is from RNAcentral.
CGGCGGCCACGAGAGGGCACCCACGGGCGGCUGCGGUUGGGUUGUGUGCUGGGGGACCCCCAGCUCUGAGCCCACAGCAGAGCCGGCUCAUGGGGCUGACCACUGCCCUGCAUUGCAAGCUGCACGUUGGGCUCUGCCAAAGGAAAGCUCUUUCCCCCAAAGCAGCACUGUGUGAUGCGUUUGCUGGAAAGAGUUUAAAUGUGAAUGGGGGAAAAAAAGAGGAAAGGACUUCUACCCUUCCAAAAGGACAGAAAAUGGGUGUGAGGUGGUGUGGCUGAAAGCAGAGUGGUUUCUUUCUGUGGGAGCCCCAGUGGGGGAUGCUGAGGAUGCUCCCCACGCAGCAUCGUCCCGAGGGCUGCCUGAAAUCAGAGCUCUGCCAGCAGUGUGAGAGCUCUGCUCUGUGCAGGUAACACUGGGGCUGGCAGUGUUCAUAUUGAGCUCAUAACGGAGAUAAGGCAUCUGUGCUCCCAGAGGAGUGCCCUCAGCGCCUCCAGCAGCUGUGCUGUUAUGAAGAUAGCUGAAAUCGUUUGGCUGUCACAGAUGCAAAUCCCAGCCUCCCAUCCGUGCCAGGAAUUUGAGCUGCAAUCCCAAGAGGGCAGCAGGCUCCAGGCACGCAGGCCUCCCCGCUCUCAUCGCCCAGCAUCGGAAAUGCUCUUUAAGGCCAGACUGGAGGAGGCACAGCUCACAGCCGGGAUAACGCCUGCUGGCUUCCCCAGCCCCAUUUCUGGGGGUGGGCUGUGCCCGUUGAUUGCAGCUGGCUCUGUCUGCAGCUCCAGCAGUGGCAGAGGUGCCCGCUGCAGCCCCGGCCGCUGUGUGUGUGCAGCUCAGCCCUCGGGCACAGCUGCACCUGCAGUGCUGUGCAGCAGUGGAGGAUUGCAGCUCUGGGUGCGAUUUGCAAAAGUGAAACUCUCACAAUGGGAGCCUCAGGGAGGGCAGUGCUGGGCCGUGGCACUGCUCCGUCCCUCUAAUUUAUUAGCAGCUCGCAGCGCCCAACAAACAAGUUGGAGAAGUGACGUCUGUGGUUAAAAAAUAAAUCACUGGUUCUUCUUUGCUUCCA